RNAcentral lists this ribosomal RNA (693 nucleotides) under uncultured Bacteroidales bacterium. RNAcentral describes it as "bacterial SSU rRNA". It matches the Rfam family "Bacterial small subunit ribosomal RNA", at positions 32 to 715 of the family's 1533-position model. Lineage: Bacteria; Pseudomonadati; Bacteroidota; Bacteroidia; Bacteroidales. The record is from RNAcentral.
AACGCUAGCUACAGGCUUAACACAUGCAAGUCGAGGGGCAGCGGGAUUGAAGCUUGCUUCAAUUGCCGGCGACCGGCGCACGGGUGAGUAACGCGUAUCCAACCUUCCGUACACCCAGGGAUAGCCUUUCGAAAGAAAGAUUAAUACCUGAUGGUAUGAUGAGAUUGCAUGAUAGCAUCAUUAAAGAUUUAUCGGUGUACGAUGGGGAUGCGUUCCAUUAGGUAGUAGGCGGGGUAACGGCCCACCUAGCCAACGAUGGAUAGGGGUUCUGAGAGGAAGGUCCCCCACAUUGGAACUGAGACACGGUCCAAACUCCUACGGGAGGCAGCAGUGAAGAAUAUUGGUCAAUGGACGAGAGUCUGAACCAGCCAAGUAGCGUGAAGGAUGAAGGUCCUACGGAUUGUAAACUUCUUUUAUAAGGGAAUAAACCCUCCCACGUGUGGGAGCUUGUAUGUACCUUAUGAAUAAGCAUCGGCUAACUCCGUGCAGCAGCCGCGGUAAUACGGAGGAUGCGAGCGUUAUCCGGAUUUAUUGGGUUUAAAGGGAGUGCAGACGGGUCGUUAAGUCAGCUGUGAAAGUUUGGGGCUCAACCUUAAAAUUGCAGUUGAUACUGGCGUCCUUGAGUGCGGUUGAGGUGUGCGGAAUUCGUGGUGUAGCGGUGAAAUGCUUAGAUAUCACGAAGAACUCCGAUUG